GAUGAACGCUGGCGGCGUGCCUAAUACAUGCAAGUCGAGCGAACAGACGAGGAGCUUGCUCCUCUGACGUUAGCGGCGGACGGGUGAGUAACACGUGGAUAACCUACCUAUAAGACUGGGAUAACUUCGGGAAACCGGAGCUAAUACCGGAUAAUAUAUUGAACCGCAGGGUUCAAUAGUGAAAGACGGUUUUGCUGUCACUUAUAGAUGGAUCCGCGCCGCAUUAGCUAGUUGGUAAGGUAACGGCUUACCAAGGCAACGAUGCGUAGCCGACCUGAGAGGGUGAUAGGCCACACUGGAACUGAGACACGGUCAAGACUCCUACGGGAGGCAGCAGUAGGGAACCUUACGCAAUGGGCGAAAGCCUGACGGAGCAACGCGGCGUGAGAGAUGAAGGUCUUCGGAUCGUAAAACUCUGUUAUUAGGGAAGAACAAAUGUGUAAGUAACUAUGCACGUAUUGACGGUACCUAAUCAGAAAGCCACGGCUAACUACGUG
RNAcentral lists this ribosomal RNA (497 nucleotides) under uncultured bacterium. RNAcentral's name for it is "partial 16S ribosomal RNA". It matches the Rfam family "Bacterial small subunit ribosomal RNA", at positions 28 to 507 of the family's 1533-position model. The record is from RNAcentral.